This is a long non-coding RNA of Scomber scombrus (Atlantic mackerel), 100 nucleotides long. RefSeq lists it as uncharacterized. The record is from RefSeq and is a predicted model, not a curated record. The transcript is spliced from 3 exons. Lineage: Eukaryota; Metazoa; Chordata; Actinopteri; Scombriformes; Scombridae.
CGUUGUGUCAGUCAACAUCUGGACGAGAAUUGAAGGGAACACAACACAGACCAGUGACAAUGCUGUGCAUGAUGAUGAAGAUGGAGAUGAAGCUACGGUG